UUGCAUCUGUUGACUGCCCGGUUGCUUCUCUUGUGAGCGAGUGGGUAUUAAUUUAUAGAUGCUAAAUGAACAGUCCCUGCGCUUUCUUCCUGUCCUGUCUGUGACUCAGGAGAUUGAAUUGGGGACAACAUGG
This is a small nucleolar RNA of Ictalurus furcatus (blue catfish), 133 nucleotides long. RefSeq annotates it as small nucleolar RNA SNORA31. Lineage: Eukaryota; Metazoa; Chordata; Actinopteri; Siluriformes; Ictaluridae. The transcript has a single exon. The record is from RefSeq and is a predicted model, not a curated record.